This 468-nucleotide ribosomal RNA is filed under the name uncultured bacterium. RNAcentral describes it as "partial 16S ribosomal RNA". It matches the Rfam family "Bacterial small subunit ribosomal RNA", at positions 28 to 507 of the family's 1533-position model. The record is from RNAcentral.
GACGAACGCUGGCGGCGUGCUUAACACAUGCAAGUCGAACGGAAAGGCCCUGCUUUUGUGGGGUGCUCGAGUGGCGAACGGGUGAGUAACACGUGAGUAACCUGCCCUUGACUUUGGGAUAACUUCAGGAAACUGGGGCUAAUACCGGAUAGGAGCUCCUGCUGCAUGGUGGGGGUUGGAAAGUUUCGGCGGUUGGGGAUGGACUCGCGGCUUAUCAGCUUGUUGGUGGGGUAGUGGCUUACCAAGGCUUUGACGGGUAGCCGGCCUGAGCGGGUGACCGGCCACAUUGGGACUGAGAUACGGCCCAGACCCCUACGGGAGGCAGCAGUGGGGAAUAUUGCACAAUGGGCGGAAGCCUGAUGCAGCAACGCCGCGUGCGGGAUGACGGCCUUCGGGUUGUAAACCGCUUUCGCCUGUGACGAAGCGUGAGUGACGGUAAUGGGUAAAGAAGCACCGGCUAACUACGUG